AGGUACCGCAUUUGGUUUCUGUUUUCAUCCAUGGGUGGGCACGUGACUUGUUCCACUGUCCGGCCCUCACGAAUGGUGCAGCGGUGAGCAGGGUGUACCAGCGGCUGUAGGACCUACGUUUUCAGACUCGGAGGCAGCGAACACUUUGAGUUAGAGGAAGAACCCUGGGCACGAGAAGUCUGUUUGUUCUAAAGGCAAGACCAUGGAGGGAUUCCAGGUGCCAAAACGAUUAGUGGCCAAGAAGACGCAUUUCCAGGAUUUGAUCAGGAAGAGGCAAUCAGGACACAGUCAGCACAGAGGGAAGCCCACGUGAGGAUACAGGGAGGAGACGGCGUCCACACAGCAAGGAAGGGCCUCCGGAGGAACCAGCCCUGCCAGCACCUUGAUCUCGGA
Non-coding RNA from Manis javanica (Malayan pangolin), 393 nucleotides. Lineage: Eukaryota; Metazoa; Chordata; Mammalia; Pholidota; Manidae. The record is from RefSeq and is a predicted model, not a curated record.